CAUGCUGCAUGGGAAGCUGGCUAUCACUCAAGGCAGUGACCAUGCUCUCCCUAGCUCACUUCCUCAGCCUUCUUCUUUGUAUCUCUGAUUCUAGGGCAGAAACUACUGUGACCCAGUCUCCAGCAUCCUUGUCCAUGGCUGUAGGAGAAAAAGUCAGUAUCAGUUGCAAAACCAGCACAGAUAUUGAUGAUGAUAUGAAUUGGUACCAGCAGAAGUCAGGGGAAGCUCCUAAGCUCCUUAUUUCAGAAGGCAAUACUCUCCGUCCCGGAGUCCCUUCCCGGUUCUCCAGCAGUGGCUAUGGCACAGAUUUUGUUUUUACAAUUAAUAAUGUGCUCUUAGGAGAUGAAGGAAUUUAUUACUGCCAGCAAAGUGAUAACGUGCCUCUCACAGUGCUGUGUCCUCUUACAGAAACCUGCAGAUGCUUUUGUUGA
This is a non-coding RNA of Rattus norvegicus (Norway rat), 431 nucleotides long. Lineage: Eukaryota; Metazoa; Chordata; Mammalia; Rodentia; Muridae. The record is from the annotation of a RefSeq genome assembly.